AUUAAAUUGUGUAUUAGGUAUCAAAGAUACGAAAAACAGAAGACAAAGUUGAAGAGAAGACCGGAGUCAUGAUUUCUGACAUCAUUUCCACAUUGUCAUCAGAAAUGCUUUCCAAACAAUUCGAAGUUUCUAUCAAUGCCUAUGAUUGGUCAUUCCAUUAUGGCGUCCUCUCAUUUCGACCAAUCAGAUUCAUCGUUGUAGGGUUAGGAGCGUGAAGUGUGGUGCAGUGCAUCAGUCCUCUCCGAAACUUCGUUCGUCUUUCACGUGUUUGCAACAGGUAUCGGCCGAUAGCGGAAUAUACCGAAGAAUGCCGAAGCGGUGCCGAUCAGUCUUCGUCGGGAAGGAAGGUCUCGCCAUUUCUCUCGCGAACGUCGAAGUGACCAGACGUAUUGAGAGCAUCUCUCCUCAUAAGUAGGUAUUUGAUGGAUAUUGAAGAGACACCUGAUAUAGGUUUGAAAUAGAAUUUCGUAAGAAUUUAUUGUUUUAAUUUAUUGUAAUGAAUUGUUAACAUUUAUUAUUACUUAUUUUUAUUAAGUCGUUAAUUGUUACCAUUUUUGAUAAUUAAUUAUUGGUACCAAGGUCAAGGAAGGAAAGAUUAGAGGAAUGUUUUUUUUCUUUGAUCAAUUCAUAGAAAAAGGAUAAUUAAUUUUUCAUUUGAUUGAAUAAUUUUAACUAGUAA
Molecule: long non-coding RNA, 679 nt
Organism: Osmia lignaria (orchard mason bee)
Lineage: Eukaryota; Metazoa; Arthropoda; Insecta; Hymenoptera; Megachilidae
Source: RefSeq, a predicted model, not a curated record